Long non-coding RNA from Antechinus flavipes (yellow-footed antechinus), 1684 nucleotides. RefSeq lists it as uncharacterized. The record is from RefSeq and is a predicted model, not a curated record. The transcript has 2 exons. Lineage: Eukaryota; Metazoa; Chordata; Mammalia; Dasyuromorphia; Dasyuridae.
UCCUUAACAAGGCCAUUGAAAUCAAUCUUUAAUGGUGGCUCUUAUAUGUUAAAUUUUCUUUAGAUUUGUUUGAGACAAAAUCCUGAAAAUCUGAGAGUUCACUGAAAGUACAUUUUUUUCUACUCAAUAUCUAACUGAAUUUUGCUAGAUAUAAUAUUUUUGAUGGAAGACUUAGUUCUUUUUAUUGUUGAUAUAUAAUAUUCCAGGACAUCUAGUCUUUUAUUGUAGCUGCUGAUAAAUUCUGUACAAUUCCAAAAUGUUUGAAUUGUUUUUUAUUGUUUGGUUUUUGUAAAAUUUUCUUUUUGAUCUGGGGGUUUUGAAAUUUAACAUUAAUAUUUCUAUGUAUUUUCCUUGUAGAUUCUCUUUGAGAUGGUGUAGAGGACAUACCAGACCCAACCCUGGGCUCUAGACUAGCUUAUGAAAAUUAUUAACAAAUAUUUUCAACAUCACUAACAUGAAUAUAUGCUGGGCCCACAGAAGGAACAGUUACCUUGUAAACUGUUCCCUUCUUAUGGGCCCAGAACUCUGAAAAAAGGAUUCUUACAAGAUGUUAAGUCAGUAGAGUUGACUUAAUAGUUCUUUAGUUCAGUACAUGUACUUAGUAUUUAAUAUAGUUCCACAAGAUUCACACCUAUGAUAAUGGAGUAUAUAACAGCCAGCAAAGGCUGAGAAAGAUUCAUUCCAUCGUCUACCUUUAUAGUGGCUGGAGGCUGAAGCACAAACCUUUGGAUUUGGAGAGAUUCAUUCACUUCAUCUCACACCACCUUGGUGGCAGGCUCUCCUCCUUCACUUCCUCACUGAAACCAAGACUCCGGAAGGCCUCCAGAAAACCAGCGGAGCCCCAAGUGAAGGAGAUGGGACUUUGAAGGAGACAAUAAAGGAUUUGGACUUUCACACCUGGCUGUACUUGUGGUGAUUACUGAACUGAAAGGAAGGCUGCUCCCAGAGACCCCAAGAAAACCGAAUCAGAGAACAUUACAUUCUCUGAACUCAGACUUUACAACCUUCUUCAAGACUGGAUCUCAUUAAAGAAGGGAAAGGGACCUGUAUGUGCCAAAAUGUUUGUGGAAACCCUUUUUGUAGUGGCUACUGGAAAUUGAAUGGAUGCCCAUCAAUUGGAGAAUGGUUGGAUAAAUUGUAGAAUUUGAAUGUUAUGGAAUAUUAUUGUUCUGUAAGAAAUGACCAACAGGAAGAAUACAGAGAGGCUUGGAGAGACUUACGUGAACUGAUGCUAAGUGAAAUGAACAGAACCAGGAGAUCAUUAUAUACUUCAACAACAAUACUGUAUAGGAUACAUUCUGAUGGAAGUGGAUAUCUUCAACAAAGAAAAGAUCCAAUUCAGUUCCAAUUGAUCAAUGAUGGACAGAAUCAGCUACACCCAGAGAAGGAAUACUGGGAAAUGAAUGUGGACCACUUGUAUUUUUGUUUUUCUUCCCAGGUUAUUUUUAGAAUCCAAUUUUUCUUGUGCAACAAGAGAACUGUAUGGAUCUGCACACAUAUAUUGUAUCUAGGAUAUACCUUAACAUGUUGAACAUGUAUAAGACUGCCUGCCAUCUAGGGUAGGAGGUAGAGGGAGGGAAGGGAAAAGUUGGAACAGAAAUGGGUGCAAGGGACAAUAUUGUAAAAAUUACCCAUGCAUAUAUACUGUCAAUAAAAAGUUAUAAUUAAAAUUUUUUUUAAAAAA